Molecule: ribosomal RNA, 502 nt
Filed under: uncultured bacterium
Lineage: Bacteria
Description: partial 16S ribosomal RNA
Rfam family: Bacterial small subunit ribosomal RNA
Source: RNAcentral
GACGAACGCUGGCGGCGUGCCUAAUACAUGCAAGUCGAACGAACCGCGACUAGGUGCUUGCACUUGGUCAAGGUGAGUGGCGAACGGGUGAGUAACACGUGGGUAACCUACCUCAUAGUGGGGGAUAACAGUCGGAAACGACUGCUAAUACCGCAUAGGACAUAGGAUCACAUGAUCCAGUGAGGAAAGGUGGCGCAUGCUAUCGCUAAGAGAUGGACCCGCGGUGCAUUAGCUAGUUGGUAGGGUAAAGGCCUACCAAGGCGAUGAUGCAUAGCCGACCUGAGAGGGUGAUCGGCCACAUUGGGACUGAGACACGGCCCAAACUCCUACGGGAGGCAGCAGUAGGGAAUCUUCCGCAAUGGACGCAAGUCUGACGGAGCAACGCCGCGUGAGUGAAGAAGGUCUUCGGAUCGUAAAGCUCUGUUGUUAGAGAAGAACAGCGCAUAGAGUAACUGUUAUGCGUGCGACGGUAUCUAACCAGAAAGCCACGGCUAACUACGUG